This 253-nucleotide ribosomal RNA is filed under the name Acidobacterium sp. Its description in RNAcentral is "partial 16S ribosomal RNA". It matches the Rfam family "Bacterial small subunit ribosomal RNA", at positions 524 to 776 of the family's 1533-position model. Lineage: Bacteria; Pseudomonadati; Acidobacteriota; Terriglobia; Terriglobales; Acidobacteriaceae. The record is from RNAcentral. RNAcentral also lists the same sequence under 2 other names.
UACGUAGGUGGCAAGCGUUGUCCGGAUUUACUGGGCGUAAAGAGCGCGCAGGCGGUCGGAUCAGUCGAAUGUGAAAGCCCCCGGCUCAACUGGGGAGGGUCAUUCGAUACUGUCCGACUCGAAGGCAGGAGAGGGAAGCGGAAUUCCCGGUGUAGUGGUGAAAUGCGUAGAUAUCGGGAGGAACACCAGUGGCGAAGGCGGCUUUCUGGCCUGUUCUUGACGCUGAGGCGCGAAAGCUAGGGGAGCGAACGGG